RNAcentral lists this ribosomal RNA (451 nucleotides) under uncultured organism. Its description in RNAcentral is "partial 16S ribosomal RNA". It matches the Rfam family "Bacterial small subunit ribosomal RNA", at positions 332 to 800 of the family's 1533-position model. The record is from RNAcentral.
UACACUCCUACGGGAGGCAGCAGUGGGGAAUAUUGGACAAUGGGCGCAAGCCUGAUCCAGCCAUGCCGCGUGAGUGAUGAAGGCCCUAGGGUUGUAAAGCUCUUUCACCGGUGAAGAUAAUGACGGUAACCGGAGAAGAAGCCCCGGCUAACUUCGUGCCAGCAGCCGCGGUAAUACGAAGGGGGCUAGCGUUGUUCGGAUUUACUGGGCGUAAAGCGCACGUAGGCGGACUAUUAAGUCAGGGGUGAAAUCCCGGGGCUCAACCCCGGAACUGCCUUUGAUACUGGUAGUCUUGAGUUCGAGAGAGGUGAGUGGAAUUCCGAGUGUAGAGGUGAAAUUCGUAGAUAUUCGGAGGAACACCAGUGGCGAAGGCGGCUCACUGGCUCGAUACUGACGCUGAGGUGCGAAAGCGUGGGGAGCAAACAGGAUUAGAAACCCGGUAGUCCCAUGA